UUAAAAAGCUCGUAGUCGGAUUUUGGCUGAGAACGGUCGGUCCGCCGUUAGGUGUGCACUGACUGGUCUCAGCUUCCUGGUGAGGAGGUGUGCUUCAUCGCCACUUAGUCACCGUGGUUACUUUGAAAAAAUUAGAGUGUUCAAAGCGGGCUUACGCUUGAAUAUAUUAGCAUGGAAUAACACCAUAGGACUCCUGUCCUAUUUCGUUGGUCUCGGGACGGGAGUAAUGAUUAAGAGGAACAGUUGGGGGCAUUCGUAUUUCAUUGUCAGAGGUGAAAUUCUUGGAUUUAUGAAAGACGAACUUCUGCGAAAGCAUUUGCCAAGGAUGUUUUCAUUGAUCAAGAACGAAAGUGGGGGGCUCGAAGAUGAUUAGAUACCAUCCUAGUCUCACCCAUAAACGAUACCGACUAGGGAUUGGCGGAUGUUAAUUGAUGACUCGCCAGCACCUUAUGAGAAAUCAAAGUUUUUGGGUCCGGGGGGGAGU
RNAcentral lists this ribosomal RNA (484 nucleotides) under uncultured marine eukaryote. RNAcentral describes it as "partial 18S ribosomal RNA". It matches the Rfam family "Eukaryotic small subunit ribosomal RNA", at positions 619 to 1124 of the family's 1831-position model. The record is from RNAcentral.